Molecule: ribosomal RNA, 497 nt
Filed under: uncultured bacterium
Lineage: Bacteria
Description: partial 16S ribosomal RNA
Rfam family: Bacterial small subunit ribosomal RNA
Source: RNAcentral
GAUGAACGCUGGCGGCGUGCCUAAUACAUGCAAGUCGAGCGAACAGAUGAGGAGCUUGCUCCUCUGACGUUAGCGGCGGACGGGUGAGUAAAACGUGGAUAACCUACCUAUAAGACUGGGAUAACUUCGGGAAACCGGAGCUAAUACCGGAUAAUAUAUUGAACCGCAUGGUUCAAUAGUGAAAGACGGUUUUGCUGUCACUUAUAGAUGGAUCCGCGCCGCAUUAGCUAGUUGGUAAGGUAACGGCUUACCAAGGCAACGAUGCGUAGCCGACCUGAGAGGGUGAUCGGCCACACUGGAACUGAGACACGGUCCAGACUCCUACGGGAGGCAGCAGUAGGGAAUCUUCCGCAAUGGGCGAAAGCCUGACGGAGCAACGCCGCGUGAGUGAUGAAGGUCUUCGGAUCGUAAAACUCUGUUAUUAGGGAAGAACAAAUGUGUAAGUACCUAUGCACGUCUUGACGGUACCUAAUCAGAAAGCCACGGCUAACUACGUG